RNAcentral lists this ribosomal RNA (507 nucleotides) under Platynectes decempunctatus. RNAcentral describes it as "partial 16S ribosomal RNA". The stretch from base 384 to 507 matches the Rfam family "Bacterial large subunit ribosomal RNA", at positions 2473 to 2597 of the family's 2925-position model. The record is from RNAcentral. Lineage: Eukaryota; Metazoa; Arthropoda; Insecta; Coleoptera; Dytiscidae.
GUCCUUUAGAGUUUAAUUUGAGGUCUGACCUGCCCACUGAUUAAUUGAAGGGCCGCAGUAUUUUGACUGUGCAAAGGUAGCAUAAUAAUUAGUUUUUUAAUUGAAAGCUUGUAUGAAUGGUUGGACGAAGUAAAAUCUGUCUCUAUAGAAUUUAUAAUUGAAUUUAAUUUUUAAGUUAAAAAGCUUAAAUUUUUGUAAAAGACGAGAAGACCCUAUAGAUCUUUAUAUUUAUUAAAUUUAUUUUUAUUAAGAUUUUUUAAGGUUUAAAUUUAAUAAUUAUUUUAUUGGGGUAAUAGUUAGAUUUAAUUAAUUCUUUAUGUUUUUAACAUUAAUUAAUGAUAAUUUGAUCCAAUUUUUUGAUUAUAAGAUUAAGUUACCUUAGGGAUAACAGCGUAAUUUUUUUUGAGAGUUCAUAUCGAUAAAAGAGUUUGCGACCUCGAUGUUGGAUUAAAAAUUAUCUUAGGGGUAGAAUUUUAAGAUUUUGGUCUGUUCGACCAUUGAAUUUUU